AACUCUAAUCCAACGAAGUGGACAACAUAGACAAAAUGGUCACAUUCAUAGAAAUAUGCAUUCUUCUAAUACUCAAUGAUGAAUAAUCGAAAAACCUCAAUUGGCUGAUAACUAUGAAUGAAAUUUAAGCAGUAAUCAAAAAUCUUCCAACAGACAAAAGCCCAGGUCCAGACAACUUCACAGGGGAGUUUUACCAAACAUUCAAAGAAGAACUAAACUCUAUUCUACUCAGACUAUUCUAAAAAAAUCAAGAGGGAGGAACACUUCUAAGCUCCUUCUAUGAAGCCAGCAUCACCCUAAUACCAAAACCAGAUAAAGUCAACACAAUGAAAGAGUAUAGGCCAAUAUCCACCAUGAACAUAGAUGCAAAAUCCUCAACAAAAUUCUAGCAAAUCGGAUACAACAGUACAUGAGAAAGAUCAUAUACCAUAACCAAGCAUGAUUUAUCUAGGAGAUGUUAGGAUGGUACAAUACCCACAAAUUAAUAAACGUGAUACAUCAUAUAAACAAAUUGAG
Long non-coding RNA from Pipistrellus kuhlii (Kuhl's pipistrelle), 516 nucleotides. RefSeq lists it as uncharacterized. The record is from RefSeq and is a predicted model, not a curated record. The transcript is spliced from 2 exons. Lineage: Eukaryota; Metazoa; Chordata; Mammalia; Chiroptera; Vespertilionidae.